Molecule: ribosomal RNA, 709 nt
Filed under: fungal sp.
Lineage: Eukaryota; Fungi
Description: eukaryotic LSU rRNA
Rfam family: 5.8S ribosomal RNA (bases 217-371)
Source: RNAcentral
GGUGACCUGCGGAAGGAUCAUUAACGAGUUAGGGUCUCUCUGGCCCGACCUCCCAACCCUUUGUCUACUUGACCAUCGUUGCUUCGGCGAGCCCGUCCUCACGGACCGCCGGAGGGAUCUUUACUGGCCCUCUGGUCCGCGCUCGUCGGUAGCCCAACCUUUAAAAUCUUUAACUAAACGUGCCUUAAUCUAAGUACAAUUAUUAAAUAAAAGCAAAACUUUCAACAACGGAUCUCUUGGUUCUGGCAUCGAUGAAGAACGCAGCGAAAUGCGAUAAGUAAUGCGAAUUGCAGAAUUCCAGUGAGUCAUCGAAUCUUUGAACGCACAUUGCGCCCUUUGGUAUUCCGAAGGGCAUGCCUGUUCGAGCGUCAUUAUCACCCCUCAAGCCCUCGGCUUGGUGUUGGACGGUUUGGUGGAGGCCCCCUCGGGGGUUCCUGCCCCUCCCAAAGACAAUGACGGCGGCCUCGUUGGACCCCCGGUACACUGAGUUCUUCACGGGACACGUAUCGGACACAUGGGUUUACGGGACACGGUCUGCCUCCCCUCAGGGAGAAUCUUUCUAAGGUUGACCUCGGAUCAGGUAGGGAUACCCGCUGAACUUAAGCAUAUCAAUAAGCGGAGGAAAAGAAACCAACAGGGAUUGCCUCAGUAACGGCGAGUGAAGCGGCAACAGCUCAAAUUUGAAAUCUGGCCUCUUUGGGGUCCGAGU